UACGUAGGGUGCGAGCGUUAAUCGGAAUUACUGGGCGUAAAGCGUGCGCAGGCGGUUUUGUAAGCCAGAUGUGAAAGCCCCGGGCUUAACCUGGGAAUGGCAUUUGGGACUGCAAGGCUUGAGUGCGGCAGAGGAGACUGGAAUUCCUGGUGUAGCAGUGAAAUGCGUAGAUAUCAGGAGGAAUACCGAUGGCGAAGGCAGCUCGCUGGGACGGUACUGACGCUGAGGCGCGAAAGCGUGGGGAGCAAACAGG
Molecule: ribosomal RNA, 253 nt
Filed under: uncultured bacterium
Lineage: Bacteria
Description: partial 16S ribosomal RNA
Rfam family: Bacterial small subunit ribosomal RNA
Source: RNAcentral